RNAcentral lists this ribosomal RNA (462 nucleotides) under uncultured bacterium. RNAcentral's name for it is "partial 16S ribosomal RNA". It matches the Rfam family "Bacterial small subunit ribosomal RNA", at positions 28 to 507 of the family's 1533-position model. The record is from RNAcentral.
GAUAAACGCUGGCGGCGUGCUUAACACAUGCAAGUCGAACGAAGUUUUUCCUUCGGGAGGAACUUAGUGGCGGACGGGUGAGUAACGCGUGGGUAACCUGCCCUGUACAGGGGGACAACAGCUGGAAACGGCUGCUAAUACCGCAUAAGCACUUAGCACUGCAUGGUGCAUAGGGAAAAGGAGCAAUCCGGUACAGGAUGGACCCGCGUCUGAUUAGCCAGUUGGCAGGGUAACGGCCUACCAAAGCGACGAUCAGUAGCCGAUCUGAGAGGAUGUACGGCCACAUUGGGACUGAGACACGGCCCAGACUCCUACGGGAGGCAGCAGUGGGGAAUAUUGCACAAUGGAGGAAACUCUGAUGCAGCGACGCCGCGUGAGUGAAGAAGUAUUUCGGUAUGUAAAGCUCUAUCAGCAGGGAAGAAAAUGACGGUACCUGACUAAGAAGCACCGGCUAAAUACGUG